CAUGUCUUUUUGAUAAUAAUUUAAAGUUUAAUCUGCUCAAUGAUUUUAAAUAGCCGCAGUAUUUUAACUGUGCAAAGGUAGCAUAAUAAUUAGUUCUUUAAAUGGGGGAUUGUAUGAAUGAUUGGACGAGAAAAUUUCUGUCUUAAGUAAAUUGAUUUUUGAAUUUUAUUUUUAAGUUAAAAAGCUUAAAUAAUUUUAAAAGACGAGAAGACCCUAUAGAGUUUAAUAUUUUAAGUUUUUUUAAUUUUAGAAAUUAAGAAAUUUUUAAUUUAUUUAGUUGGGGUGACUUGAAGAUUAAAAAAAUUCUUUAAAUAGAAAUUAAUGAUAUUUAAAUUUUGAGUUUAUAAGUUAAAAACAAAUUACCUUAGGGAUAACAGCGUAAUAUUUCUUUAGAGCUCUUAUCUGAAGAAAUUUUUGCGACCUCGAUGUUGGAUUAAAAUUUAUUUUUGGAGUAGUAGCUUAAAAAUUAGGUCUGUUCGACCUUUAAAAUUUUACAUGAUCUGAGUUUAGACCGGCGUGAGCCAGGUUGGAUUCUAUCUUUACAAAAAUUUUUUAUUUUAGUACGAAAGGACCAAAUAAAAUUUAUAUUUA
Molecule: ribosomal RNA, 591 nt
Filed under: Scarelus flavicollis
Lineage: Eukaryota; Metazoa; Arthropoda; Insecta; Coleoptera; Lycidae
Description: partial 16S ribosomal RNA
Rfam family: Bacterial large subunit ribosomal RNA
Source: RNAcentral